AGGGACAUAGCUCAGCAGGUAGAGCAUCUGGCUUAUAUCCAGCGCGCCACCGGUUCGAAUCCGGUUGUCCCUA
Molecule: transfer RNA, 73 nt
Filed under: Faecalicatena contorta
Lineage: Bacteria; Bacillati; Bacillota; Clostridia; Lachnospirales; Lachnospiraceae
Description: tRNA-Ile(tat)
Rfam family: tRNA
About the family: Transfer RNA (tRNA) molecules are approximately 80 nucleotides in length.
Source: RNAcentral